CAUUGCGGAUUAGGUUAGCCACGGGAAGUGCUGCUGCUCAAGAGUUCGUUCAAGAGCAAAUCAGGUGCCAGGUAAUGAGGGAAUGCUAGAUACUAGAGCUCCAUAAGGGAAUAUUAUUUCAUAGUCCAUUUUCACCUUGUCGAGGAGAGUUGCGGAUCGGUACAUGGAGCAUGGGGUUCUGCUCACGGGGCUGCAGGGAUGAUUACCACCUCGGCGAGCUGGACAAGAACAGGAAGAGGCAAGCCGUGGCGUUGAUGGGACGGAGCAAGAUGGCCAGGAUCGUCACUAGGGUGGACGCCGGCAAGGCGACGGAGGCCGGAGAAGCGAGCUGCAGCAGGCCCACCUUCUUCACUUGCGCCGAAGAAGCUGAGUAGGCAUCAUUCCGGCCCCUAAACAAGUUUCGUCGUCACCUCAAGAUGAAUAAAGCAGCAGCAGCCUCGUGCAUAUGCAACAAUAUGCGUCGGUAUAUGGACAGCUGCAGGAGUGUAGCGUGCAACUACAUGCGUAUGUAGUAUGUCGUCGUAUGUGUCUUUCUGAUGUGUGUGCUAUGUGUCGUAUGUGUCAUCCAAGCUAAAAUAAAAAAAACUAUAUAUUUUUA
Long non-coding RNA from Setaria italica (foxtail millet), 598 nucleotides. RefSeq lists it as uncharacterized. The transcript is spliced from 2 exons. Lineage: Eukaryota; Viridiplantae; Streptophyta; Magnoliopsida; Poales; Poaceae. The record is from RefSeq and is a predicted model, not a curated record.